AUCAACUUUCGAUGGUAGGAUAGAGGCCUACCAUGGUGGUAACGGGUAACGGGGAAUUAGGGUUCGAUUCCGGAGAGGGAGCCUGAGAAACGGCUACCACAUCCAAGGAUGGCAGCAGGCGCGCAAAUUACCCAAUCCCGACACGGGGAGGUAGUGACAAUAAAUAACAAUACGGGGUUCUUUAGGAUCUCGUAAUUGGAAUGAGUACAAUUUAAAUCUCUUAACGAGGAACAAUUGGAGGGCAAGUCUGGUGCCAGCAGCCGCGGUAAUUCCAGCUCCAAUAGCGUAUAUUAAAGUUGUUGCAGUUAAAAAGCUCGUAGUUGAAUUUCGGGAUCAAAUUGUUGGUCGUGCUUCGGUACGCACUGGCAUUAUUGGUUCCUACCUUCUGAAGAACCGCGAUGUCAUUAAUUUGGUGUCGUGGGGAAUCAGGACUGUUACUUUGAAAAAAUUAGAGUGUUUAAAGCAGGCGCACGCUUGAAUACAUUAGCAUGGAAUAAUGAAAUAGGACGUUUGAUUCUAUUUUGUUGGUUUCUAGGAUCGACGUAAUGAUUAAUAGGGAUAGUUGGGGGCAUUAGUAUUCAAUUGUCAGAGGUGAAAUUCUUGGAUUUAUUGAAGACUAACUACUGCGAAAGCAUUUGCCAAGGAUGUUUUCAUUAAUCAAGAACGAAAGUUAGGGGAUCAAAGACGAUCAGAUACCGUCGUAGUCUUAACCAUAAACUAUGCCGACUAGGGAUCGGAUGAUGUUAAUUUUUUAAUGACUCAUUCGGCGCCUUACGGGAAACCAAAGUGUUUGGGUUC
RNAcentral lists this ribosomal RNA (798 nucleotides) under uncultured Glomeraceae. RNAcentral describes it as "SSU rRNA". It matches the Rfam family "Eukaryotic small subunit ribosomal RNA", at positions 314 to 1114 of the family's 1831-position model. The record is from RNAcentral. Lineage: Eukaryota; Fungi; Glomeromycota; Glomeromycetes; Glomerales; Glomeraceae.